RNAcentral lists this ribosomal RNA (840 nucleotides) under Rhodococcus sp. IM-0792. RNAcentral's name for it is "bacterial SSU rRNA". It matches the Rfam family "Bacterial small subunit ribosomal RNA", at positions 38 to 889 of the family's 1533-position model. The record is from RNAcentral. Lineage: Bacteria; Bacillati; Actinomycetota; Actinomycetes; Mycobacteriales; Nocardiaceae.
GGCGGCGUGCUUAACACAUGCAAGUCGAACGAUAAGGCCCAGCUUGCUGGGUGGAUUAGUGGCGAACGGGUGAGUAACACGUGGGUGAUCUGCCCUGCACUUCGGGAUAAGCCUGGGAAACUGGGUCUAAUACCGGAUAUGACCAAGGACUGCAUGGUUUUUGGUGGAAAGGUUUACUGGUGCAGGAUGAGCCCGCGGCCUAUCAGCUUGUUGGUGGGGUAAUGGCCUACCAAGGCGACGACGGGUAGCCGGCCUGAGAGGGCGACCGGCCACACUGGGACUGAGACACGGCCCAGACUCCUACGGGAGGCAGCAGUGGGGAAUAUUGCACAAUGGGCGAAAGCCUGAUGCAGCGACGCCGCGUGAGGGAUGACGGCCUUCGGGUUGUAAACCUCUUUCAGCAGGGACGAAGCGCAAGUGACGGUACCUGCAGAAGAAGCACCGGCCAACUACGUGCCAGCAGCCGCGGUAAUACGUAGGGUGCGAGCGUUGUCCGGAAUUACUGGGCGUAAAGAGCUCGUAGGCGGUUUGUCGCGUCGUUUGUGAAAACUCACAGCUCAACUGUGAGCUUGCAGGCGAUACGGGCAGACUUGAGUACUGCAGGGGAGACUGGAAUUCCUGGUGUAGCGGUGAAAUGCGCAGAUAUCAGGAGGAACACCGGUGGCGAAGGCGGGUCUCUGGGCAGUAACUGACGCUGAGGAACGAAAGCGUGGGUAGCGAACAGGAUUAGAUACCCUGGUAGUCCACGCCGUAAACGGUGGGCGCUAGGUGUGGGUUUCCUUCCACGGAAUCCGUGCCGUAGCUAACGCAUUAAGCGCCCCGCCUGGGGAGUACGGCCGC